RNAcentral lists this small RNA (582 nucleotides) under Pan troglodytes (chimpanzee). Its description in RNAcentral is "processed transcript". Lineage: Eukaryota; Metazoa; Chordata; Mammalia; Primates; Hominidae. The record is from RNAcentral.
GAUGCUUGGACUAAGGCAGAAACUGACCACCUCUUUGACCUCAGCCGCCGCUUUGACCUGCGUUUUGUUGUUAUCCAUGACCGGUAUGAUCACCAGCAGUUCAAGAAGCGUUCUGUGGAAGACCUGAAGGAGCGGUACUACCACAUCUGUGCUAAGCUUGCCAACGUGCGGGCUGUGCCAGGCACAGACCUUAAGAUACCAGUAUUUGAUGCUGGGCACGAACGACGGCGGAAGGAACAGCUUGAGCGUCUCUACAACCGGACCCCAGAGCAGGUGGCAGAGGAGGAGUACCUGCUACAGGAGCUGCGCAAGAUUGAGGCCCGGAAGAAGGAGCGGGAGAAACGCAGCCAGGACCUGCAGAAGCUGAUCACAGCGGCAGACACCACUGCAGAGCAGCGGCGCACGGAACGCAAGGCCCCCAAGAAGAAGCUACCCCAGAAAAAGGAGGCUGAGAAGCCGGCUGUUCCUGAGACUGCAGGCAUCAAGUUUCCAGACUUCAAGUCUGCAGGUGUCACGCUGCGGAGCCAACGGGCUUAGCUUGCCAGCUUUCAUUGCAGAUGAAGCUGCCAAGCUCUGUGGGAC